UCAAGAUCAAGGACUCACGGGAAGAUAUCACAACACAACUCUAGACACAAUUUAAAAUAAUACAAGCUUUAUAUUACAAGCCAGGGGCCUCAUGGGCUCGAAUACAUAAGCUCGAAAACACAAGAGUCAGCGGAACCAACAAUAUCUGAGAACAGACAUAAGUUAAACAAGAUUGCCUUAAGAAGGCUAGCACAAAAGUAGCAACAAUCGAAAAGGCAAGGCCUCCUGCGACCUCCUAACUACUCCUCGAAGUCGAACUCCAUGUAGAAUCAUCCUCGGGAUCCUCUGGCUCCUGGACUCCAUCAUAUGAUCGCAGCAACCGGGAAAAGGGGAAAAGGAAGUAGGAAAGCAACCGUGAGUACUCAUCCAAAGUACUUGCAAGCAAGGAGCUACACUACAUAUGCAUUGGUAUGAAAUGAAAGGUGUAGUAUAUGUGGACUGAACUGCAUAAUGCCAGAAUAAGAGGGGGAUAGCUAGUCCUGUCGAAGACUACACUUCUGCCAGUCUCCAUCUUGCAGCAUGUAGAAGAGAGUAGAUAGUAAGUUCACCAAGUAUCAUCGCAUAGCAUAAUCCUACCCGGCGAUCCUCUCCUCGCCGCCCUGUGAGAGAGCGAUCACCGGGUUGUAUCUGGCACUUGGAAGCGUGUAUGUUAUUAAGUAUCCGGUUCUAGUUGUCAUAAGGUCAAGAUACAACUCCGAGUCGUCCUUUUACCGAGGGACACGGCUAUGCAAAUAGAUAAACUUCCCUGCAGGGGUGCACCACAUUUUCCAACAUGCUUGAUCCCCUUUGGCCGGACAAACUUUCCUGGGUCAUGCCCGGCCUUGGAAGAUCAACACGUCACAGCCCUACCUAGGCACAACAGAGAGGUCAGCACGCCGGUCUAAAUCCUAAGCGCGCAGGGGUCUGGGCCCAUCGCCCAUUGCACACCUGCACGUUGCGUACGCGGCCGGUGAGCAGACCUAGCAACCUCCAUUACAAAGGAAGUUGCGUGAUGCGGUCCAACCUGGCAUGCGCCGCUCAGUCGCUGACGUCAAGAAGGCUUCAGCUCAUACCACGACAUCAAGUGCCCAUAAUUGUUCAUGCGUAGUUGGUUAGUGCGUAUAGGCCAGUGGCCGGACUCAGAUCAAAUACCAAGAUGUCGUUAAGCGUGUUAUCUAGAAGUAAACGCGAACGCCGACCAGGGCCAGGCCCACCUCUCACCUGGGUGGUCUCAACCUGCCCUGUCGCUCCGCCACAAAGAUGCACACAAAGGGCCGUCGAGAAAGUAUGUCCUUUCAGCCCCCAAUUUGUGAAUCAACCAUGGGUACUCAACGAGCCGACCCGACUUUAGUCACAACAUGUAUCAUGUGUAAUAUGUAUAGUAUAUACCCGUGAUCAACACCCGACGUGAUCACAGCCCGAUAGUAUAGCAUGGCAGACUGACAAGAAUGUAGGGCCACUGAUGAUAAACUAGCGUCCUAUACUAAGCAUUUAGGAUUGCAGGUAAGGAAUCAACAGUUGUAGCAACAAUGACAGGCUAUGCAUCAGAAUAGGAUUAAUGGAAAGCAGUAACAUGCUACACUACUCUAAUGCAAGCAGUAGAGAGAAGAAUAGGCGAUAGCGGGCUGAUCAAGGGGGAGGGGGGCUUGCCAGAUUUCUCUGGCAAGUAGGAGGCGUCAACAACGUAGUCGAUCGGGGCACCAGCAGCGACGUCAGUCUCGUAGUCUACCGGAGAGAAGAGGGGGAAGAAACAAUGAAUACAAUGCAAACAGAUGCAUAACGAUGCAUGACAUGACAAUGAGCGGUGCUAGGUGGGCCCUAACGUAGUAGGAGGUGAUACCGGCGAAUGGGGAAAACAUCCGGGAAAGUAUCCUCGGUGUUUCGCGUUUUCAAACAGAUGAAUCAGAGGGAAAAAAUUACGUGUUUGCUAUGCUAGGGAUGUGUGGCGGACGAACUGGAUGUGUAUCCGGAUUCGUCUCGUCGUUCUGUUCAACUUUCAUGUACAAAGUUUUUUCAUCUGAGUUACGAUUUAUUUUAUAUUGAAUUUCGAAGUUUAAAUGAUUUUCUGAUUUUCUAGAUUUAUUUUAAUUUGACAUAUUAAAUUGACUAAAUGCUAAGUGCACCUAAAACCGUACCCAGUAGCGUGUGCUACAGGCUGAUAGGUGCGGGCCGUUGACCGUUGACUCAAUAGUCAACAAUUAAAUGUUGACUGGUCAGUGGGUCCUGCAAGGCCCAUAUGUCAUUGACUGGGACUAGCCCAGUUAGCAGUUGACUGGUCAAAGUUGUGACUGGGUCCACCAGUCAUUGAUUGACUUAUUUUAACAAGGGUUUAAUUACUCUAAUUAGGAUUACUAGAGAAUGAGUCCCACUUGUCAACAUUAGUGGGUUAGUCUAGUUUUAAUCUAACUAAUCUAAUUAGCAAUUAGAGGAGGGCCGGCUUGCUGGGCACUGUAUAAAGCCCAGUCGGCUUCAUCGUGGCUGUGCAUGCAUGCACAGGCACACGGCGGCUACGGCCAGCCACGACCAUGAGCUCGCACGGGAGUGGCCAUGGGCACGAGCGGGCUGGCACGCGCGGGUGUGCAGUUGAGUGCAGGGGGCGCAUGGGGUGGAGUCCGCGGCCUACGGCGAGCAGCAGACAUCAGCGGCGACAGCGACGGCGGCCGCAGCAAGCAGUGCGACAUCAGCGGCGAUAUUGGCAAGAAACGGCAGCGGCGGCAUCAGUAGCAACAACAGCGGGGUGAGGCCAUGGCGCACCGGCGCGCGCGACAGGAGCAGCAAUGGGACGCGGACACGCACAGGCGGCCGUGGCGCCGUCAGGAGGCCUACGAGGCGCAGUCGGCGCAGGGUGAGCGCGAGCGUGCGCAGGCGCACGGGGGAGCAGAGCUCCAAGCGCGGCCACGGGAGGAUGCGGGAGAUGGCUACGUCGACGAAUCGAGACGGAAAUCAGUGGGGAAUGGAGGAGGAGCUCACAGUGAACACAAAGACGAGGUCGGGGAGGCCGGGGCUGGACCGAAGCGGCGGCAAACGACGACGGACG
Molecule: long non-coding RNA, 3016 nt
Filed under: Triticum aestivum (bread wheat)
Lineage: Eukaryota; Viridiplantae; Streptophyta; Magnoliopsida; Poales; Poaceae
Description: long non-coding RNA (TAES_LNC001677)
Source: RNAcentral